GAAGUUUUCCACAUUUUUGAAGUUAGAGCAGUCGGAAGCCCAGCUAGGACGUGGCAGUUUCAUGGAUUUAGAAACACAUGACUUCAGGUUGGAAGACAAGCUUGCCAAAACUACUAGAGACAGCUGUAAAAUCACCACAGAAGCAUCCAUGGACUGAUGUCUCGGGUUAUUAAGGAUAAACUGUUUAAUCGGAUUAACGUUGCUUAA
RNAcentral lists this long non-coding RNA (207 nucleotides) under Mus musculus (house mouse). Its description in RNAcentral is "long non-coding RNA chr6:29963643-29963850". Lineage: Eukaryota; Metazoa; Chordata; Mammalia; Rodentia; Muridae. The record is from RNAcentral.